This 75-nucleotide transfer RNA is filed under the name Peptococcaceae bacterium BRH_c4b. RNAcentral's name for it is "tRNA-Thr". It matches the Rfam family "tRNA". From Rfam's summary of the family: Transfer RNA (tRNA) molecules are approximately 80 nucleotides in length. Their secondary structure includes four short double-helical elements and three loops (D, anti-codon, and T loops). Further hydrogen bonds mediate the characteristic L-shaped molecular structure. tRNAs have two regions of fundamental functional importance: the anti-codon, which is responsible for specific mRNA codon recognition, and the 3' end, to which the tRNAs corresponding amino acid is attached (by aminoacyl-tRNA synthetases). tRNAs cope with the degeneracy of the genetic code in two manners: having more than one tRNA (with a specific anti-codon) for a particular amino acid; and 'wobble' base-pairing, i.e. permitting non-standard base-pairing at the 3rd anti-codon position. RNAcentral also lists the same sequence under 1 other name. Lineage: Bacteria; Bacillati; Bacillota; Clostridia; Eubacteriales; Peptococcaceae. The record is from RNAcentral.
GCUGGAGUGGCUCAGGGGUAGAGCAGCGCACUCGUAAUGCGCAGGUCGUGGGUUCAAAUCCCAUCUCCAGCUCCA